UACGUAGGGUGCAAGCGUUGUCCGGAAUUAUUGGGCGUAAAGAGCUCGUAGGCGGUUAGUCGCGUCUGCUGUGAAAACUCGGGGCUUAACUCCGGGCCUGCAGUGGGUACGGGCUGACUAGAGUGCGGUAGGGGAGACUGGAAUUCCUGGUGUAGCGGUGAAAUGCGCAGAUAUCAGGAGGAACACCGGUGGCGAAGGCGGGUCUCUGGGCCGGAACUGACACUGAGGGACGAAAGCUAGGGGAGCGAAUGGG
RNAcentral lists this ribosomal RNA (253 nucleotides) under uncultured bacterium. RNAcentral's name for it is "partial 16S ribosomal RNA". It matches the Rfam family "Bacterial small subunit ribosomal RNA", at positions 524 to 776 of the family's 1533-position model. The record is from RNAcentral.